This 681-nucleotide ribosomal RNA is filed under the name uncultured Bacteroidales bacterium. RNAcentral's name for it is "bacterial SSU rRNA". It matches the Rfam family "Bacterial small subunit ribosomal RNA", at positions 68 to 740 of the family's 1533-position model. Lineage: Bacteria; Pseudomonadati; Bacteroidota; Bacteroidia; Bacteroidales. The record is from RNAcentral.
CAGCAUGAACUUAGCUUGCUAAGUUUGAUGGCGACCGGCGCACGGGUGAGUAACACGUAUCCAACCUGCCGAUGACUCGGGGAUAGCCUUUCGAAAGAAAGAUUAAUACCCGAUGGCAUAGUUCUUCCGCAUGGUAGAACUAUUAAAGAAUUUCGGUCAUCGAUGGGGAUGCGUUCCAUUAGGUUGUUGGCGGGGUAACGGCCCACCAAGCCUUCGAUGGAUAGGGGUUCUGAGAGGAAGGUCCCCCACAUUGGAACUGAGACACGGUCCAAACUCCUACGGGAGGCAGCAGUGAGGAAUAUUGGUCAAUGGACGAGAGUCUGAACCAGCCAAGUAGCGUGAAGGAUGACUGCCCUAUGGGUUGUAAACUUCUUUUAUACGGGAAUAAAGUGAGGCACGUGUGCCUUUUUGUAUGUACCGUAUGAAUAAGGAUCGGCUAACUCCGUGCCAGCAGCCGCGGUAAUACGGAGGAUCCGAGCGUUAUCCGGAUUUAUUGGGUUUAAAGGGAGCGUAGGCGGACGCUUAAGUCAGUUGUGAAAGUUUGCGGCCCAACCGUAAAAUUGCAGUUGAUACUGGGUGUCUUGAGUACAGUAGAGGUGGGCGGAAUUCGUGGUGUAGCCGGUGAAAUGCUUAGAUAUCACGAAGAACUCCGAUUGCGAAGGCAGCUCACUGGACUGCAAC